This 2538-nucleotide long non-coding RNA is filed under the name Salmo salar (Atlantic salmon). RNAcentral's name for it is "lncRNA (ENSSSAG00000102535.1)". Lineage: Eukaryota; Metazoa; Chordata; Actinopteri; Salmoniformes; Salmonidae. The record is from RNAcentral.
UGGAGGCCGAGGGACCCGUGUUGGAGAGGCUGAGAGAGCUGACUCAGAAUCCUGUAGGAGCUGAUUUAAACCUGGGUGUGGCCUACGCCUAUAGCCAAUGGCAGUGCUGCCUGAGGGAGGGCCUUAACCUGAACCAACUGCUGUGCUUCCCUCUAACUGAGCCUCAGUGUGCCUGGCUGUACAGGGGCACUCUGGUGCACCAGCUUGUGGACCAACUGAGACGGGGGGGGUGAACCCGGAUUCUCUUCUGAUGGAAGUCCUUUCCUCUAUGGAGCUUUACCAAGUCAUGCUGGAUAACCUGAAGGAUUGUUAUGAAGGUACUGGAAGAAAGGAGGAGGCCAAUGAAGAGGGUUGGACGCAAGUCAGGAGGUAGGAAGAGGUAGGGGUGGGAAUAGGCACCACUACGUACAGUACAAGUCAAAAGUUUGGACACACCUGCUCAUUGAAGGGUUUUUCUUUAUUUUUACUACUUUCUACAUUGUAGAAUAAUAGUGCAGACAUCAAAACAAUGAAAUAACACAUAUGGAAUCAUGUAGUAACCAAUUCUUUUUUAAACAAAUCAAAAUAUAUUUUAUAUUUGCGAUUCUUCAAAGUAGCCACCCUUUGCCUUGAUGACACUAACAAAAUGUCCCCAGUUGGUGUUUUAUUUUGUUUACUAUUGUUGUGGGGACUUCUGGUUCCCAUAAGUAUAGUUAAACACGUUCACACGCAGACACACCGACACACACCACACACACACACCACACACACACACCACACACACACACCACACACACACACCACACACACAGACACACACACAGACACACACCACAUGCACCAGACACACAGUGCAAAAGAAGAGUCAGCUAGCCUCUGCUCUCAUUGCUGCAUGAUGAAAGUGGCCCAAGCCUCUGAGAAGUCUGCUAAUGAUAACGAUGUGGAGGCUCUCUCUCUCUCUCUCUAUCUCCCUCUCUUGCUCUCUCAGUCCCAGCUCAGGUAUAUCCCAGCCCCCAAGGCUCUCAGUCCCAGCUCAGGUAUAUCCCAGCCCCUAGGCUCUCAGCCCCAGCUCAGGUAUAUCCCAGCCCCCCCAGCCCCCAAGGCUCUCAGUCCCAGCUCAGGUAUAUCCCAGCCCCUAGGCUCUCAGUCCCAGCUCAGGUAUAUCCCAGCCCCCCAGCCCCUAGGCUCUCAGUCCCAGCUCAGGUAUAUCCCAGUCCCCCAGCCCCUAGACUCUCAGUCCCAGCUCAGGUAUAUCCCAGCCCCCCAGCCCCUAGACUCUCAGUCCCAGCUCAGGUAUAUCCCAGCCCCUAGACUCUCAGUCCCAGCUCAGGUAUAUCCCAGCCCCCCAGCCCCUAGACUCUCAGUCCCAGCUCAGGUAUAUCCCAGCCCCCAAGGCUCUCAGUCCCAGCUCAGGUAUAUCCCAGCCCCCAAGGCUCUCAGUCCCAGCUCAGGUAUAUCCCAGCCCCCUAGGCUCUCAGUCCCAGCUCAGGUAUAUCCUAGACCCCCAGUCCCAGCACAGGUAUAUCCCAGCCGCCCCUUAGUCCCCCCGUCCCAGCUCAGGUAUAUCCUAGACCCCCAGUCCCAGCUCAGGUAUAUCCCAGCCCCCUAGGCUCUCAUCCCCUCUUUCAGGUAUACAUCAAUAAGCUACAUGGGAGGCCGACUCAGAGUGGAGGGGAGCUCGAAUAGCAGGGCUUAGCAUAGACUCUAUGCGUCCUAAAUGGCACCCCAUUCCCAUUGGGAGUCACCCUUAGACUCUCUUCCCAACAACCCCUGAGAGAUCUGUUACCACCAUGCCCCACUACUUGCUUCCCGCCUGCCUCUCUCUCCAGCUCUCUUUAUCUUGCUCCCUCCUCUCUCUCACACCAUCACUCUCUUCUCUCUCUCAAUUAAAUUCAGUUCAAUUCAAGGGGCUUUAUUGGCAUGGGAAUCAUAUGUUAACAUUGCCAAAGGAAGUGAGGUAGAUAAUAUACAAAAGUGAAAUAAACAAUAAAAAGGAACAGUAAAUAUUACACUCACAGAAGUUCCAAAAGAAUAAAGACAUUCAAAAUGUCAUAUUAUGUCUAUAUACAGUGUUGUAACGAUGUGCAAAUGGUUAAAGUACAAAGGGGAAAAUAAAUAAACAUAAAUAUGGGUUGUAUUUACAAUGGUGUUUGUUCUUCACUGGUUGCCCUUUUCUUGUGGAAACAGGUCACACUUAUUGCUGCUGUGAUGGAACACAGUGGUAUUUCACCCAGUAGAUUUGUGAGUUUAUCAAAAUUGGGUUUGUUUUCGAGUUAUUUGUGGAUCUGUGUAAUCUGAGGGAAAUAUGUGUCUCUAAUAUGGUCAUACAUUUGGCAGGAGGUUAGGAAGUGCAGCUCAGUUUCCAUCUCAUUUUGUGGGCAGUGUGCACAUAGCCUGUCUUUUCUUGAGAGCCAGGCAGCCUUUCUCAAUAGCAAGGCUAUGCUCACUGAGUCUGUACAUAGUCAAAGCGUUCCUUAAGUUUGGGUCAGUCACAGUGGUCAUGUAUUCUGCCACUGUGUACUCUCUGUUUAGGGCCAAAUAGCAUUCUAGUUUGCUCAG